This 349-nucleotide transfer-messenger RNA is filed under the name Clostridiales bacterium. It matches the Rfam family "transfer-messenger RNA". Rfam says of the family: Bacterial tmRNA, also known as 10Sa RNA or SsrA, is named for its dual tRNA and mRNA-like properties. Lineage: Bacteria; Bacillati; Bacillota; Clostridia; Eubacteriales. The record is from RNAcentral.
GGGGCCGUAAUGGUUUCGACGGGGAUGCAGAAUCCGGAAUAGCGGGCGGAUGCGCUGACCAUCCUUAAAAUCGGCAAUUAUAAAUUAAAGAACAGUAAAGAAACUGCUCUUCUCGCUGCUUAAGCAGUGAGCGUCUUGACCGAGAGGGCCACGGCUCGGUAAAAGACGUCGAUUAGUGGCGAACGUGAGUGCGCAAAGCUUUGAGUGCACCAUGCAUUAAUGAAGCUACCGACCGCGGGAGAUAGUGAGGCGUCUUCCGCGCAGGGGAAUCGCUAACGACUCACUGCGCCCGGAGAAGUUUCGGUGGACACAUUUUCGGACGCGGGUUCGACUCCCGCCGGCUCCACCA